GAUGAACGCUGGCGGCGUGCCUAAUUCAUGCAAGUCGAGCGAACGGACGAGAAGCUUGCUUCUCUGAUGUUAGCGGCGGACGGGGGAGUAAAACGUGGAUAACCCACCUAUAAGACUGGGAUAAAUUCGGGAAACCGGAGCUAGUACCGGAUAAAAUUUUGAACAGCAUGGAUCAAAAGUGAAAGACGGUCUUGCUGUCACUUAUAGAUGGAUCCGCGCGGCAUUAGCUAGUUGGUAAGGUAACGGCUUACCAAGGCAACGAUGCAUAGCCGACCUGAGAGGGUGAUCGGCCACACUGGAACUGAGACACGGUCCAGACUCCUACGGGAGGCAGCAGUAGGGAAUCUUCCGCAAUGGGCGAAAGCCUGACGGAGCAACGCCGCGUGAAUGAUGAAGGUCUUCGGAUCGUAAAACUCUGUUAUUAGGGAAGAACAUAUGUGUAAGUAACUGUGCACAUCUUGACGGUACCUAAUCAGAAAGCCACGGCUAACUACGUG
Molecule: ribosomal RNA, 497 nt
Filed under: uncultured bacterium
Lineage: Bacteria
Description: partial 16S ribosomal RNA
Rfam family: Bacterial small subunit ribosomal RNA
Source: RNAcentral